GACGAACGCUGGCGGCGUGCCUAAUACAUGCAAGUAGAACGCUGAAGGAGGAGCUUGCUUCUCUGGAUGAGUUGCGAACGGGUGAGUAACGCGUAGGUAACCUGCCUGGUAGCGGGGGAUAACUAUUGGAAACGAUAGCUAAUACCGCAUAAUAGUAGAUGUUGCAUGACAUUUGCUUAAAAGGUGCAAUUGCAUCACUACCAGAUGGACCUGCGUUGUAUUAGCUAGUUGGUGGGGUAACGGCUCACCAAGGCGACGAUACAUAGCCGACCUGAGAGGGUGAUCGGCAACACUGGGACUGAGACACGGCCCAGACUCCUAAGGGAGGCAGCAGUAGGGAAUCUUCGGCAAUGGACGGAAGUCUGACCGAGCAACGCCGCGUGAGUGAAGAAGGUUUUCGGAUCGUAAAGCUCUGUUGUAAGAGAAGAACGAGUGUGAGAGUGGAAAGUUCACACUGUGACGGUAUCUUACCAGAAAGGGACGGCUAACUACGUG
RNAcentral lists this ribosomal RNA (495 nucleotides) under uncultured bacterium. Its description in RNAcentral is "partial 16S ribosomal RNA". It matches the Rfam family "Bacterial small subunit ribosomal RNA", at positions 28 to 507 of the family's 1533-position model. The record is from RNAcentral.